GCCAGCAUAGCGUAAUUGGUUAGCGCACUCGACCGGUAAUCGAGAGGUGCGUGGUUCGAGUCCCGCCGCUGUCUGGCU
This is a non-coding RNA of Ornithodoros turicata, 78 nucleotides long. The record is from the annotation of a RefSeq genome assembly. NCBI's taxonomy places the organism in Eukaryota, Metazoa, Arthropoda, Arachnida, Ixodida, Argasidae.